Molecule: ribosomal RNA, 433 nt
Filed under: uncultured bacterium
Lineage: Bacteria
Description: partial 16S ribosomal RNA
Rfam family: Bacterial small subunit ribosomal RNA
Source: RNAcentral
AACGAACGCUGGCGGCAUGCCUAACACAUGCAAGUCGAACGAUACCUUCGGGUCUAGUGGCGCACGGGUGCGUAACGCGUGGGAACCUGCCCUUAGGUUCGGAAUAACUCCCCGAAAGGGGUGCUAAUCCCGGAUAAUGUCUUCGGACCAAAGAUUUAUCGCCUUUGGAUGGGCCCGCGUUGGAUUAGCUAGUUGGUAGGGUAAAAGCCUACCAAGGCGACGAUCCAUAGCUGGUCUGAGAGGAUGAUCAGCCACACUGGGACUGAGACACGGCCCAGACUCCUACGGGAGGCAGCAGGGGGGAAUAUUGGACAAUGGGCGAAUGCCUGAUGCAGCAAUGCCGCGUGAGUGAUGAAGGCCUUAGGGUUGUAAAGCUCUUUUACCCGGGAGGAUAAUGACAGUACCGGGAGAAUAAGCGCCGGCUAACUCCGUG